CUCAACCCGCGGGUAGGACGGAGUUUAGACCAGCUGAACCUCUUGUUGGUUUUAUACUGAGUCGACGUCAUCCUGGAUUUAGUUCCUGCUCCCCGCCCGGGACCGGCCUCCUGGCUGUCCUUCUCCCGGCAGGCCCCAGCUGGGCUCCCUGGGCCCCGGCGGCCUGGCCGAAGCCCGGCUCGGCUCGCGGCAGGCGGCCACGGUGAUUUGCGGGACCCUCUGCGCGUCACGGCCCGUCAGCCGGAGCUGCGGGAGGCGCAUCCAGUCCACGACGGCGCGCAGGCGGCCGAGAGCCCUGCGAGAAGAAUGUACUGCACUCCUGAAGGGCUGGGCCUAGUCUCACUCCUUGUUCUCUAUCCAUCAUUGGAGACAGGACUUGACACCUGGGAGACGUCCAAAAGAAAUAUUUCAGAGCUGGCCUUGAUCUUCGUAACUGUGGAGACCGCAUGUGGUGGUGAGAGAGAUGAAGAGACCAGAUCCUAAUACAGGAUAUAGAAGGGCCACCCAGGAGUUAUAUCCAGUCUACGCAGAUAGCUCGUUGGAACUACCCCAUGUUUAAACAUUUUUGGGGGAAUUAGUCGCUAGCAUUUAAAAAUCUCUGAAGGUUUCAAAUAAGUGUACAGAUCUAUUUGUGCUUAACCAAAAGAUCUGAGAAUAUCAGGCCUGGCAGUAUUACGGGGCAAAAACUGGCUGGGGCUGACUCGCCUUUACUCCCGCUUGACCUGGCUUUUGCCAUCCAGUGGCUCUAAACCCACUUGGCCUGCUUCCUCAUUCCGGUCACAGGCCUGGCCCCAUCAGCGUUUGAAUUUACUUUAUUUGCUCGAAUGCUCUAAGUCAUGAUUCAAAGCAAUGGUUCCCAACUCUUUUUGAAAUAUGAGGACCUCUUUGUAAAAUAAUGUCCCCCCUGUGAUCAUGAAAUGAAGACAUGCUCACAGCAGGAACGCAAGACAUGUGGAAAGUCGCUAGAAGGUAGUAAAUAUCGCCCGCAGGCUAACACGUGGAGAGAAGCCCCAUUUACACUUGGUGGGUGUGCGGGCUUCUAAAAUCUUCAUGGUCCUCACACUCUAGUAGUUUUAUAUAUAUAGUAAUUAACUUCUGAUUGGCCAAAAUCAGAUGUAAUAAAACAAUUACUUUUGCAGAAACAGGGAAGAAGGAAUGUGACUUCCUUCAGCGCACGGUUUUCCCACGGCCAUUUGGAAAACGUCGCACUUGUACAUGGGCACAUAUUACAGGCUAACCUGGCAGGCCAUCUUUGGUGCCCACGUGGAGGUUCAGACUCUUGUCUUUUGGGGCCUGGAACUUCUGCUUUAAGGAGCUAUAGUAAAGACCAAAAUGUGCCAGUUUGGCAUCAUGCACUCAUCUCCCGAUCAUAUCUGGCCACAUUACAGCAAAAAUACAUUUUAGUGCAUCAUUGAACUUCUUGGAAAUACGGGAACUCCAAAGGGCCAUGAUAAGGAAAAAACAAGCAAGCAGGUAGGUAAAUAUAUAAAUGUC
Molecule: long non-coding RNA, 1494 nt
Organism: Sus scrofa (pig)
Lineage: Eukaryota; Metazoa; Chordata; Mammalia; Artiodactyla; Suidae
Source: RefSeq, a predicted model, not a curated record